This 543-nucleotide ribosomal RNA is filed under the name uncultured bacterium. Its description in RNAcentral is "bacterial SSU rRNA". It matches the Rfam family "Bacterial small subunit ribosomal RNA", at positions 235 to 770 of the family's 1533-position model. The record is from RNAcentral.
GGCAGAUUAGGUAGUUGGUGAGGUAAAGGCUCACCAAGCCUUCGAUCUGUAGCUGGUCUGAGAGGACGACCAGCCACACUGGGACUGAGACACGGCCCAGACUCCUACGGGAGGCAGCAGUGGGGAAUUUUGGACAAUGGGCGCAAGCCUGAUCCAGCCAUGCCGCGUGCAGGAUGAAGGCCUUCGGGUUGUAAACUGCUUUUGUACGGAACGAAAAGGUUCUUUCUAAUAAAGAGAGCUCAUGACGGUACCGUAAGAAUAAGCACCGGCUAACUACGUGCCAGCAGCCGCGGUAAUACGUAGGGUGCAAGCGUUAAUCGGAAUUACUGGGCGUAAAGCGUGCGCAGGCGGUUAUGUAAGACAGUUGUGAAAUCCCCGGGCUCAACCUGGGAACUGCAUCUGUGACUGCAUAGCUAGAGUACGGUAGAGGGGGAUGGAAUUCCGCGUGUAGCAGUGAAAUGCGUAGAUAUGCGGAGGAACACCGAUGGCGAAAGCAAUCCCCUGGACCUGUACUGACGCUCAUGCACGAAAGCGUGGGGAGCA